Molecule: RNA transcript, 3096 nt
Organism: Onychostoma macrolepis
Lineage: Eukaryota; Metazoa; Chordata; Actinopteri; Cypriniformes; Cyprinidae
Gene name: overexpressed in colon carcinoma 1 protein homolog
Exons: 7
Source: RefSeq, a predicted model, not a curated record
GUCUCCGCUGACCUUCCAGAGUCGGGUCACGUCUCCGCUGACCUUCCAGAGUCGGGUCACGUCUCCGCUGACCUACCCAGAUCAUCAAGCACUGUCUAUCUCUUUGAUUGACUUUGACGAAGUUUGAAGCAUGGGCUGUGGGAAUUCCACCUCUGCCAGCACAGCUGCAGGUCCAUCCGAGUCAGCCAAAGAUGUGCAGGACGAAUCGUCUGUGGAUGAUGAGAAGAGGAGGAACUAUGGUGGAGUGUAUGUGGGCAUACCUGCAGACCUCAGCAAUGUGGCCACCGGACAAACACCCUCCACACACAAAGAAUAAUGAUAUUCAGAGCUGAAGGCACAGAUAAAGAAGGAUGUAUGUGAUUCUGCCUAAAAAUUGAGUUAAAACAAGGGCUUUCCGGAGGGAAUCUUGGCUGAAAAUUGCUGCGUAAUAAUCUCAACAGGACGCAAUUUUCUUCAUCGUUGAUUGGCUCGUUGGGACUCGCCCAGAAUCCUCUGAGAGCCAAUCAUCUAAUUGAACUCUCUGGAAACUGAACUGGAAUUAGUUCUGCUGACAAGGUCAGAGGUCAAAGACAAAUCUGAGUUUGUUAGCAUCACUCAGUGCUUUUAAGGGCAAGUUCUACCAGCACCUUGCUUCUCAGGACAAUGACACACAGGUUUUAAUGACAAUCACAGAGCAACGAAGAUGCUAAAAACGUGUCUCUGAGCUCAAACCUAUUCCCUCACAAUGUUGCUCUGCAUUUAUUAAGAGGUUUCACAAGGGUCAAGUGGUUUUCAAGGGGGAAAUUAGACUCUUAAGGCACUAUUUAUGCACUCACGAGUCUGUUUUUGUUCUUUCAACAUGAUCCACAUCCUUUCAAACACUCUUCUCUAGUCUUAAGAAAAAAUCCAUUUUGUGAUAAUGUAAUGUUAGAGGUACAUGAAGUGCCUUUGAAGGAGCUCGUUGCUGGUCUGUCAGGUGAGUCCCCUUAGUGCUUCUUCAAGCCCUGCACUGUCUUCUGGAGGUGAAAUCAAGGGUUAUGUGUUUGUGAUUGGGUUUAAGGUCCCUCCAUCUCGCUAAUCCAAUUAGAGUGACCCAGUGAGAGCCGAGUUUUAAAACGAGGGUAUCUGUGCUAGCAGCGCCUGACCUGAGAGAACUCCGAGGACUGUGUAAGUAGGCCAGCGCUCGCACUUUUCAGCGUCAGGUCAGCUGGAGCUCACUCCUGUGACACAGGGGAGAAGAGAUGAGGAGAGAAAGACAGAGAGCGCUUGAGCCAGACUGUGUCACAGUGGGUGCUGAAUGAGACACCGAUUCCUGAGGGACGGCAGGAUGUGAGCCAACACUGUGACACGAGUUCUAGCUGAACUCACUUUCCUCACUCCUUAAAGAGACCCAGAAAGAAAUGUGGUUGUUAUUUUGUUCCAAAUCUGUAUACUUUUUUUUUGUUUGUUUCUUUUGUGUGACACAAAAGGAAGAAUUUUGAAGAAUGCACUGGUCAUUUUAAGGACUAUAAAAGCAUCAUUACAUUUUUAGCAUUUUAAAUUGAAGUUUGGGGUCAAUAAGAUUUUUUAAAGAAAUAGGUCUCUUAUGCUCACCAAGGCUGCAUUUAUUUGAUCAAAAGUACAGUAAUUAAAUAUUACAAUUUAAAAGAAAUCUAUUGUAAUAUAUUUUAAAAUGGAAUUCAUUGUUAUGAUGGAAAAGCUGAAUUUUCAGCAGUCAUUGUCUUCAGUGUCACAUGAUCCUUAAGAAAUCAUUCAAAUAUGCUGAUUUGCUGCUCAAGAAACAUUUCUUAUUAUUAUCAUCAAUGUUGAAAACAGUUUAAUAUUUUUGUGGAGACCGUGAUCCUUUUUUUUUUUUUUUUCAGGAUUCUUUGAUGUUCAAGUAAAAAACAACAACAACAAUAACAACAACAUUUAUUUAAAAUAGAAAUCUUUAGUAUAUCUUUACUGUCAUUUUGAUUAAUUUAAUGUGUCAAUUUAUUGUUGAAUUAAAGUAUUAAUUUCUUUCAAAAAAUAAAAUAAAAUCUUUCUGACCCCAAAUUUUUAUAUUUAUGUACAUAUACACAUAUAUUGUAAGAUAAUAACAAAUUGUCAGAGCAUACAUGAAUGUAUGAACCUUUUUCCCUAUUUUUAGACAUAUAAGGGAAUCAAUUCUUCUUUUUUUUCAUAAAUAUGAAGUACAUUUGCACCCAUCCUCUCACACACCACAGAUGAGAGAUUCUAAAAAUGAGUGUGUUUCUCAGGUGCAGCUCUCACCAGCAACCUCACAUGUAAAGCAGUAGUUUCUUGGAAAAUAUUUUCCUCCGAACCCAUUUUUCUGCUUCUUGAGUGGCUACAGUGCCACCAGCGACUCUCCUGAGUGAGCGUUCAAAGGAAAAAUUGAAUAGACUUUUUAAAGAUAGGCUUUUCCCCCAAGAAAGGUGUAGCACUGCUCUGUUAAAACAACACUCUUGGUUUGAGCAUCCCAGCAGCAACACUGACUCAACCAAUGGCGUGAGUUUAGGCAGGAAUGUUACUAAAACCUGAUUGAAAACAGUAAAUUCUUCUUCUUAUUAUAUUGUAGUUGUAAUUGGAGCUGCUAGUGCCACCUUACAUCUUUAAAUAAAAAUAUCUAACAAAAUUUCAAAAACAAUCUGGUAAUUUAAUAUUUCCCUAUACGUAUACUUUAGGGGAAAAGGUGUCACAGCUUUUAAUGUGUCUUGUAAAGAAUCAAUGUGAAGAAACCGAUUACAAAUUGCAUUUCAAAUCUCAAGUAUAGCCAAUUAUGUACUCAGGAAUUCUCAGAACACUGUAAUAUAUAGUAAAAUACUAAUUUUUGGUCAUUCAUUGCAGCAUAAAUUAUAUUUACAAGAUACUGUCAUCUCAAAAAGUCUUUCAUUUCAACAAGAUGUUAAUAAAAGUUCAAUUAAUGUGAUUAUGAAUUUGAACAGAGUUAUUAUUCAGUACAAGUCAUGUUAAACAUUGCCAUAUUUGUAGCAGUCUCUCACAUACAAGUGACUGGGUUCAGUUUUGCAUGAAUCAGUAUGAAUCUCUAUCACCUGUACUUGUUCUGUAAUGGUUGUACGCUCUCAUAAUGGACUAUUUCAUUCUGCCAGAACCUGUCACAAUGAGCUCUCUUUC